This is a long non-coding RNA of Chelonia mydas (Green sea turtle), 1932 nucleotides long. RefSeq lists it as uncharacterized. NCBI's taxonomy places the organism in Eukaryota, Metazoa, Chordata, Testudines, Cheloniidae. The record is from RefSeq and is a predicted model, not a curated record. The transcript is spliced from 2 exons.
GCCUAAAGGCUCAAAACCCAGAAGACCUAAUGCUAUAUUGAUUUUUUUUAUAUGUCUUCUGAUUUAGUGGGGUCAGAAUUCCGCCCCUAAACACACACACUUUCACAACUACUGUUCCCAGAGGCCUAUGCGGGCACAGACAUGCGCAGCAACGCGCGCCCUGCCCGGUAUUUUCCCGCGGAUUUUAUGUAAUCCCGGACCUAGGAGCGGGAACUCCGGGAAGAACUCUCCUCCUCCUCCUGGCCACAUGCCGCGGGAGCCGGGUCCAGCGCGGCUUCCUUCGGCCAGUCCAGCGGGGACCGAGGCGGGCUCUCAGAGCGGUGGCGCAGGGUCUGUCUCUGAACAGAAUUCUCCCGCCGGCCGGCGCCAUCUUUGCUGGUUGGGGUAACAGCGGCUCCUGUUCCCAAGCGGCAGCAGCGCCGCGUCCCUCAUUCAAGAUGGCGACGGCCGGGUGAUUGACAUGCCUAGUCACGUGGGCAGUAGCGGGUCACGCCAGGAACAGGGCAAAGCCGAGCAGGGAGCUGGGCGGGGUUUCCCUCUGCUUUUCAUAGCCCGGCAAGGCGCGUCUGGCUGAUGUCUGCGGCAGAUAGAGGAGACGAGGAUCAUCAAAGGACCAAGAGCCCUUUUAUCUCCGCUCUUGUUUCCCUGUAAUUUCGUUUAUUGUCCAGCUUGCUUGUCUCUUUAUUUUCCUCUUCAGGAGGGGUCGGGUGCACCAUGGCCCUGGCUGAGGUAGUAGUUUGUGCUGUUGGUCGGGUUGUGACAUUGCCCGCUGUGGAGAUAACUGCGCAAGCUACUGCCUUGCUAGUGCUGGUGAUGAUCGGCUACAGAUGAAGACAAUGACAAUGGGAAUCCCCUUUGUUUUCCCGGAAUUGCAUGCUGAUGGGGUGGCAAACAAUUCUUCCCCCUCCUCUUCCUGCAGAAAUUGAGCCUUUCCUUGGCUACUGAAAUGUGAGUGGUUCCUUUUUACACCAGUGAGAUAUUGCUCUGUUGGUGCAGCUGGAUGGAAGACCAUUAGUUUUGGGGUGGGUUUUACAUUGUCUUUUGGAAUUUUGGCUGAAGAGCAAGUCGAGUAUCUGGUUCUUUUAAUGCUUAGGUUAUCUUUGCCCACCACCUUUUGAAGGGGAUGGAUCUGAUAUUUUCUGAAGACAUAAGGGUCAAUGACUGACUUGUAUUGUUUCUGUGUAUUUUGAAUAUGUAUUGCUUCAAAUGUUGUAUUUGUAUUUAAAAUCACAAGUAUAUAUUUAUACUGAAAAACUGGUUAUUAUCUGUUUGGGAAAAGCCGAUAUGUAUGAAGAGCACUUCAUUGCUUACUGUGAAGACAAUAUUUGUACAAUACAAGCUCAUUAAUUUUAUUUUGCUUAACAUUUACAGAUUUCUUGUUCUGUUUUAGGUGAAUCUUUAAAAUGUCUGGUGUACAUUUUGAUUAUUUUACAGUAGAGCAAAUUAACCUAAGAAGUAUGGAUGGCGUAAAUUCAUAUUGCUGGCAUUUUUUAUUAGAAUGGUGAUUGAGAGAUACUUUUUGUGAAUUUUAGUGUGUUGACCACACAUUAGUAUGGUAUGAAUUUAAAAUGUAUUAAAAUGUUUACAAUAAAUGUACAUUAGUUUGUGUUGUAUUGAGAAUUUAGUUCUUAAAGGAUAUAUCCUUUAAUACUGAAUUUACAUUAUUUCUGCAUGUCUGCUAUUGCAAUUUCAUUUGACACAGUAGAAAAAAUUAUCAAAGCUUUGACUAAUUUUUUUAAAUAAGGCUAAUGCCUUAGUACUAGCCAUCUCUCACAAAUACAUUAUAUUUAGUAAAUUGGGGAUAGAGUUGCCCAGAUGUAUCUCAUAAAUAAGGGGGUCUUAAUGUUUCAACUUACCAAUGAGCAAAUACAUCUUUUAUGUUUCCAAAUCAGACUGAAAUAAUAUAAUAAAAAUAUAUUCUGUAGCUUUAAA